GUGCUUGCUUUGGCAGCACAUAUACUAAAAUUGGAACAAUAUGGAGAAGAUUAGCAUGGCCCAUGCACAAGGAUGACAUGCAAAUUCAUGAAGCAUUCUGUAUUUUU
Molecule: small nuclear RNA, 107 nt
Filed under: Phoenicopterus ruber ruber
Lineage: Eukaryota; Metazoa; Chordata; Aves; Phoenicopteriformes; Phoenicopteridae
Source: RNAcentral